UACGGAGGAUCCAAGCGUUAUCCGGAUUUAUUGGGUUUAAAGGGUGCGUAGGCGGAUUAGUAAGUCAGUGGUGAAAGCCUGCAGCUUAACUGUAGAACUGCCAUUGAUACUGCUAGUCUUGAAUAUAGUUGAGGUAGGCGGAAUAUGACAUGUAGCGGUGAAAUGCUUAGAUAUGUCAUAGAACACCGAUUGCGAAGGCAGCUUGCUAAACUAUUAUUGACGCUGAGGCACGAAAGCGUGGGUAGCAAACAGG
RNAcentral lists this ribosomal RNA (253 nucleotides) under uncultured bacterium. RNAcentral describes it as "partial 16S ribosomal RNA". It matches the Rfam family "Bacterial small subunit ribosomal RNA", at positions 524 to 776 of the family's 1533-position model. The record is from RNAcentral.